CGCACAUCGCGCCCCUUGGCAUUCCGAGGGGCAUGUCUGUUCGAGCGUCAUUGCACCCCUCAAGCCCAGCUUGGUAUUGGGUCUCGCCCCCGCGGCGGUCCCGAAAAGCGUCGGCUGCUCGGCGUGGCUUUCGAGCGUAGUAAAACUUCUCCCGCUCCGAGAUCCACGCCGCGGUGGGCCUCCAACCUCUGAUUUUCAAUGAUUGACCUCGGAUCAGGCAGGGAUACCCGCUGAACUUAA
This 240-nucleotide unclassified non-coding RNA is filed under the name Neoprotoparmelia multifera. RNAcentral describes it as "partial contains 5.8S ribosomal RNA, internal transcribed spacer 2, and large subunit ribosomal RNA". The record is from RNAcentral. Lineage: Eukaryota; Fungi; Ascomycota; Lecanoromycetes; Lecanorales; Parmeliaceae.